RNAcentral lists this ribosomal RNA (274 nucleotides) under uncultured bacterium. RNAcentral describes it as "partial 16S ribosomal RNA". It matches the Rfam family "Archaeal small subunit ribosomal RNA", at positions 473 to 747 of the family's 1478-position model. The record is from RNAcentral.
AAACCAGCACCUCAAGUGGUCAGGAUGAUUAUUGGGCCUAAAGCAUCCGUAGCCGGCUCUGUAAGUUUUCGGUCAAAUCUGUACGCUCAACGUACAGGCUGCCGGGAAUACUGCAGAGCUAGGGAGUGGGAGAGGUAGACGGUACUCGGGAGGAAGGGGUAAAAUCCUUUGAUCUCUCGAUGACCACCUGUGGCGAAGGCGGUCUACCAGAACACGUCCGACGGUGGGGGAUGAAAGCUGGGGGAGCAAACCGGAUUAGAGACCCGAGUAGUCC